CGAACGCUGGCGGCGUGCCUAAUACAUGCAAGUCCAACGCACUCUCGUUUAGAUUGAAGGAGCUUGCUCCUGAUUGAUAAACAUUUGAGUGAGUGGCGGACGGGUGAGUAACACGUGGGUAACCUGCCCUAAAGUGGGGGAUAACAUUUGGAAACAGAUGCUAAUACCGCAUAAAACCUAACACCGCAUGGUGUAGGGUUGAAAGAUGGUUUCGGCUAUCACUUUAGGAUGGACCCGCGGUGCAUUAGUUAGUUGGUGAGGUAAAGGCUCACCAAGACCGUGAUGCAUAGCCGACCUGAGAGGGUAAUCGGCCACACUGGGACUGAGACACGGCCCAGACUCCUACGGGAGGCAGCAGUAGGGAAUCUUCCACAAUGGACGAAAGUCUGAUGGAGCAACGCCGCGUGAGUGAAGAAGGUUUUCGGAUCGUAAAACUCUGUUGUUGGAGAAGAAUGUAUCUGAUAGUAACUGAUCAGGUAGUGACGGUAUCCAACCAGAAAGCCACGGCUAACUACGUGCCAGCAGCCGCGGUAAUACGUAGGUGGCAAGCGUUGUCCGGAUUUAUUGGGCGUAAAGCGAGCGCAGGCGGUUUCUUAAGUCUGAUGUGAAAGCCUUCGGCUCAACCGAAGAAGUGCAUCGGAAACUGGGAAACUUGAGUGCAGAAGAGGACAGUGGAACUCCAUGUGUAGCGGUGAAAUGCGUAGAUAUAUGGAAGAACACCAGUGGCGAAGGCGGCUGUCUGGUCUGUAACUGACGCUGAGGCUCGAAAGCAUGG
Molecule: ribosomal RNA, 775 nt
Filed under: uncultured Lactobacillus sp.
Lineage: Bacteria; Bacillati; Bacillota; Bacilli; Lactobacillales; Lactobacillaceae
Description: bacterial SSU rRNA
Rfam family: Bacterial small subunit ribosomal RNA
Source: RNAcentral